RNAcentral lists this ribosomal RNA (492 nucleotides) under uncultured bacterium. Its description in RNAcentral is "bacterial SSU rRNA". It matches the Rfam family "Bacterial small subunit ribosomal RNA", at positions 28 to 507 of the family's 1533-position model. The record is from RNAcentral.
GAUGAACGCUAGCUACAGGCUUAACACAUGCAAGUCGAGGGGAAACGACAUCGAAAGCUUGCUUUUGGUGGGCGUCGACCGGCGCACGGGUGAGUAACGCGUAUCCAACCUGCCCACCACUUGGGGAUAACCUUGCGAAAGUAAGACUAAUACCCAAUGAUAUCCCACGAAGGCAUCCGAAUGGGAUUAAAGAUUUAUCGGUGAUGGAUGGGGAUGCGUCUGAUUAGCUUGUUGGCGGGGUAACGGCCCACCAAGGCGACGAUGCGUAGGGGUUCUGAGAGGAAGGUCCCCCACACUGGUACUGAGACACGGACCAGACUCCUACGGGAGGCAGCAGUGAGGAAUAUUGGGUCAAUGGGCGCAGGCCUGAACCAGCCAAGUCGCGUGAGGGAUGACGGUCCUACGGAUUGUAAACCUCUUUUGUCGGGGAGUAACGUGCGGGACGUGUCCCGUAUUGAGAGUACCCGAGAAAAAGCAUCGGCUAACUCCGUG